This 229-nucleotide unclassified non-coding RNA is filed under the name uncultured fungus. Its description in RNAcentral is "sequence contains ITS1, 5.8S rRNA gene". The stretch from base 181 to 229 matches the Rfam family "5.8S ribosomal RNA", at positions 1 to 49 of the family's 154-position model. The record is from RNAcentral. Lineage: Eukaryota; Fungi.
UCUCCGUAGGUGAACCUGCGGAGGGAUCAUUACUGAGUGAGGGCUCACGCCCGACCUCCAACCCUUUGUGAACACAUCUUGUUGCUUCGGGGGCGACCCUGCCGGCACUUCGUCGCCGGGCGCCCCCGGAGGUCUCCAAACACUGCAACUCUGCGUCGUAGUUUGAAACAAAUUAAACAAAACUUUCAACAGCAGAUCUCUUGGUUCUGGCAUCGAUGAAGAACGCGGC